RNAcentral lists this ribosomal RNA (340 nucleotides) under uncultured bacterium. RNAcentral's name for it is "bacterial SSU rRNA". It matches the Rfam family "Bacterial small subunit ribosomal RNA", at positions 469 to 808 of the family's 1533-position model. The record is from RNAcentral.
AUGACGGUACCCCUGGAGGAAGCCCCGGCUAACUMCGUGCCAGCAGCCGCGGUAAGACGUAGGGGGCGAGCGUUGUUCGGAAUUACUGGGCGUAAAGCGUGCGUAGGCGGAUUCGUAAGUCGAGGKUGAAAUAUCCGGGCUCAACUCGGGGCMCGGCCUUGAAACUGCGGACCUUGAGGCGAGUAGAGGGUAAUGGAAUUCCCGGUGUAGCGGUGAAAUGCGUAKAUAUCGGGAGGAACACCAGUGGCGAAGGCGGUUACCUGGACUCGUUCUGACGCUGAGGCACGAAAGCUGGGGGAGCAAACGGGAUUAGAUACCCCGGUAGUCCCAGCCGUAAACG